RNAcentral lists this long non-coding RNA (1652 nucleotides) under Pomacea canaliculata. RNAcentral describes it as "uncharacterized LOC112562386". Lineage: Eukaryota; Metazoa; Mollusca; Gastropoda; Architaenioglossa; Ampullariidae. The record is from RNAcentral.
UGGUAAUCAGUUGUAUCCCUGGCCAUUCGUACCAUCUAGGGUUUGUGUGCCCCGUGGCUGUGUAUGAUGUAGGGAGGUACUGCGAGCACAGGAGUAAGUUCAUGAUACGCGGGGUGAUGUCUCAUGCUUGGCUCCCACCACUGAUUCCACAAGAUGUGUUGCGCUCUUACAGACUUUUCCAAACAGAUUAGCCCCACCAGGCUUUGCUGUUGAUAAACAAAACUUUUCAGGUAGUUUGUUCCAGCUCGGCCUUAUCUUGGCACACAGCACGUGAACUCAGCUUCCCAGUUGCUGUGUGUUUGUUGUUUCCUCGAGGAGUGACACCCACUCGCGCGCAGCGUCAAAGAUACUUUUAUUCAAGAAGUUUAAAACACACACACGCACACGCGCGCGCGCUAAUGAAUGGCCGGGCUGUGUUCAGUCCAGCAGUGCAUUGCCUAGUGAACUGCAGGCUGUGGUGAGUGCCGUCUGAACAUGUCGGUUCAAAUAUUAGGAGGGGUGGGAGGUUGGGUGUCGAGUCAAUCCAUUACCUUCGAUGCACUUCAGAAGAUAACUCUGAAUGCACUCGCUGUACAAUGUAGCAGCCUGGGGUGGAUUUCAUGUUCAGCGCUUAACUUACCUCCGAAUAAAACCCGCAGCCCCUAUUAGCUACUCGCUGGUAAGGCCAGCGCGUCCCGCGCAUUUCGUGUUUCCGACUUUACCCGACAAUAGCUAACUGGCGAUGCAAAUUUAGAACUGCGACCUACAUUCUUUGUUCCGGGGGAUUCCCUACUUGUGCGCAUGUCCAGAAGACGUUAAUAUGUCUUCCGGGAAAAACAAACAGACGUGCUCACAGAUUUACUGUACAACUCUGUGGAUAUGCUCUUUUCGCGGAACAAACUUUGUCAGCCUACUUUUUUUGUAAUAAUGGAGCCGACGUCUUCCAAACGCCAGCGAGGAGCAAACUGGUCCAGCAGGGAAGUACGGGCAUUAUUAGAGUUUAAGAGAGAGGUUUUUGAGAUAACUCUAGUCAGCAGCUGCCCAGAUUUGCCUUCAUAUGCACCUGUUCCUGAUGGUGGCCUAACAAAGGAAGUGUUCUCUAGUGUAGAUGUCUAUGAUACAAAUAGUUUAAGAUGUACUCUCAAUAUAUAUUCUGAGAAAAUAAGUGUCAAGCAGAAUUUAAGUUCAGGUCAGCUUUAUGCUAUACCUAAGGCUGUUUGCAGAAAUGACAAGUACUGUUAAUAGUUUGUAAUCUCAGCAGUCCUGUCCAACCUUAAAUGAAUUUUCAGUAGGAUGCAUGUGUGGAAGUGUAAUGUAUCUUAAGAGUGAUGUACAAUCUAAGAUUGCAUAUUUUUGUGGUGCACAACUUGUGAACCAAAUAUUGAAACUUGCACUGGUUUUUCAUUGUUGUUGUUGUUGCACGUUGGGCAGGCAGUGGUGCACAUCACACGUGAUUGAUAGAUGGCGCUGCGCUCACACCUCGACGUCAACUGCCUGAAGUAUUUUGGCAGCAACAUUCGUGAGGCCUUAAUGUGAACCCAGUAGCCGAGCACCGACCUUCCAUUUCUUUCUAUGCCCCUUUCAAUCCUGCUCCUGUUUCUGCUCUUCUUUUUCCUCCUCCUCCCCCUCCUCCUCCUUCUCCUCAUCAUCAUCGUCAUCAACGAGGUUAGGGA